This is a non-coding RNA of Colius striatus (speckled mousebird), 540 nucleotides long. The record is from the annotation of a RefSeq genome assembly. NCBI's taxonomy places the organism in Eukaryota, Metazoa, Chordata, Aves, Coliiformes, Coliidae.
GGCCGGGGCAGGACGAUGCCCCUUGGCGCGGCGCAGGCGUCGGUGUGGCACAGCGCGGGGUGUGCUCGUGUGCGGCCCCGCCGGGCCCUUGUUCCGCCGAUGGCGGCCGGGCCGGGGCCGUGGCUGCUGGGCUUGGGCUUGGCCUUGGGGCCGGCAGGCGUGUGGGCGCAGCUGAGGCUGGUGGAGGCCGGCGGAGGGCAGCGAGCGCCCGGGGACUCCGUGCUCCUCUCCUGCCGUAUACACGGCUCCGAAUUCAGGACGUACACAGUAAGAUGGUACCGUCAGGCACCCGGCAGCAGCCUGGAGUGGGUGUCCUAUAUCCGCUUUGAUUCAUCCCUGAUUCGAAACGGAGCAGCAGUGGAUGGUCGAGCCACUGUGUCCCGGGACGAUUCCCGCUCGGAGGCAUCUCUGUCUCUCAGUGCCCUGAGCCCAGGGGACUCUGCCCGAUACUUCUGUGCUGCUCGCACCCACAGCGUCAGGAAACGCAGCCGAGUUGCAUCAGAAACCUCCUGGCACAGCCCCAACUCUGUACCCUUCUAG